RNAcentral lists this ribosomal RNA (460 nucleotides) under uncultured bacterium. RNAcentral's name for it is "partial 16S ribosomal RNA". It matches the Rfam family "Bacterial small subunit ribosomal RNA", at positions 338 to 795 of the family's 1533-position model. The record is from RNAcentral.
CCUACGGGAGGCAGCAGUGAGGAAUAUUGGUCAAUGGACGAGCGUCUGAACCAGCCAAGUAGCGUGAAGGAUGACUGCCCUAUGGGUUGUAAACUUCUUUUAUAUGGGAAUAAAAUGUUCCACGUGUGGGAUUUUGUAUGUACCAUAUGAAUAAGGAUCGGCUAACUCCGUGCCAGCAGCCGCGGUAAUACGGAGGAUCCGAGCGUUAUCCGGAUUUAUUGGGUUUAAAGGGAGCGUAGGUGGAUUGUUAAGUCAGUUGUGAAAGUUUGCGGCUCAACCGUAAAAUUGCAGUUGAAACUGGCAGUCUUGAGUACAGUAGAGGUGGGCGGGAUUCGUGGUGUAGCGGUGAAAUGCUUAGAUAUCACGAAGAACUCCGAUUGCGAAGGCAGUUCACUGGACUGCAACUGACACUGAGGCUCGAAAGUGUGGGUAUCAAACAGGAUUAGAUACCCUAGUAGUC